RNAcentral lists this long non-coding RNA (1332 nucleotides) under Homo sapiens (human). RNAcentral's name for it is "LBX1 antisense RNA 1 (LBX1-AS1)". The record is from RNAcentral. Lineage: Eukaryota; Metazoa; Chordata; Mammalia; Primates; Hominidae.
ACAUUAGCUGCUCCUUUAUUGCACCCGAACCUCGGGCGACUGAAAAGCCACCGCCCCCACCCCAAACUGCGAGCCGCGCUCCUGGCGCACCCGCCUCCCGCCGGCCUAGCUGCAAUGACCGCACCGGCCCGAAGGUCUCGGUCUCUCCGACCCGGGAUGUGGAGCCCGAAAGAGUGGUGGGAACCCCAGCCCGGGAGGGACGCGGCCGCCGCUCGGGCCAGAUCCCCUUAUCCAGGCCACCUUUGGAAACCAGCCCACCUGCUACACCAACCUUUUCCCAACACCGUGGUCCCACCCCUACCUUCGCUGCUGAAAAACCGCAUUGUGUGGGGGUCUGGAAUCUUCUGGACUCCUGGGACCCCAAUCCGCUUGCCUCUUGUACCCCUCUUGCAGAGCAAUGAGCCGAUGGGGUGCCAGGCAUUAGAAACCUUCCCUCCAAUCCUCACCAUGUCUCCAUUUUGCCAAAGAAGAAACUGAGGUUAAGGUCGCGAUGCUCUGGCCAGCAUCACAGGUGGGAUUCGAACGCAGAUGGGGUUUGGAGCGGCUCUUGUGUUUAAGCCACACAGUCUGACGUUAGACGGGUGAAUCCAGCCCUCGCAGGGCCUGGAGUGACCUAAGCCGAGAGGAGCUGGGCUGAAUCUCCAGGCGUUCCUUUCUUUCUGCCCUAGGAAAGCUUUGAAAUUCUUAUUUUCAGGUAAACGAUUUUGGCAGUGCCCGGAGAAAGAUAGAAGUAAGACCUAAAGAGGAACUUUCCGCAUGUUAUGGGAGAGCCCCUGGGGCGAGGAGGCGAGGGCAGCCUUCCCCAGGCCAAGGGAGCAGCCAUCGCUCUUGGAUCUGUUUUUCCUCAAGCGUCUGUCCUGUGGGGCCUAGUCCCCAAGCGGCAGUCCUGGACCUAACGGGAGAAGGGGCUGGGGGAAGAGGGCGCACCCCCAGCCCGGGACCCACAGCAGCCCUAGCCAGUCCCCCACUCUCUCCCUCUGUAGGGGCCUCUCUCUGAGAUCGGGUCCUCCUCCUGCAGGGCAGCAGAGUGGAAGCCAGGGCCUGGGACCCUCUGGCUGGGCAAGGAGGGACUGGAGUCCGGCUCCCGGUGACCCCGUCCCCAGUGCCAGCGGUGGGGUCGCCUGUGGCGGCCCGGACAGGCCACGGGUCCCUCUCCCCAAGUCCCAUUACGUUGUAUUUAUGUUUCAUUUUAUAGUUUUUUUUUCCUCCUCCCUUAUUAUUGUCUCACUCUGGGGGAGGCAAAGGAUAUAAUAUAUUCAUCUUUAUUAUACCAAAUCUGUGUGAAGCAUUUAAUAAAACGCUGUUUCCACACAGCCAGGGAUAAAAAAAAAA